GGCGAUGUAGCUCAGUGGUAGAGCAGCGGACUCAUACCCCGCAAGUCAUGGGUUCGAAUCCCAUCAUCGCCA
This 72-nucleotide transfer RNA is filed under the name Candidatus Gottesmanbacteria bacterium. RNAcentral describes it as "tRNA-Met". It matches the Rfam family "tRNA". Rfam says of the family: Transfer RNA (tRNA) molecules are approximately 80 nucleotides in length. Their secondary structure includes four short double-helical elements and three loops (D, anti-codon, and T loops). The record is from RNAcentral. Lineage: Bacteria; Candidatus Gottesmaniibacteriota.